RNAcentral lists this transfer RNA (76 nucleotides) under Gammaproteobacteria bacterium. RNAcentral's name for it is "tRNA-Thr". It matches the Rfam family "tRNA". Rfam says of the family: Transfer RNA (tRNA) molecules are approximately 80 nucleotides in length. Their secondary structure includes four short double-helical elements and three loops (D, anti-codon, and T loops). RNAcentral also lists the same sequence under 2 other names. Lineage: Bacteria; Pseudomonadati; Pseudomonadota; Gammaproteobacteria. The record is from RNAcentral.
GCCGGUGUAGCUCAGUUGGUAGAGCAACUGAUUCGUAAUCAGUAGGUCAUCGGUUCGAUUCCGGUCACCGGCACCA